This is a long non-coding RNA of Anser brachyrhynchus (Pink-footed goose), 1381 nucleotides long. Lineage: Eukaryota; Metazoa; Chordata; Aves; Anseriformes; Anatidae. The record is from Ensembl.
UGCUGGAGCAGUGAGGCCAGGAACUUGUGCUCCAUCCUGCAGAACAGCUGGAGCCAUAUGCUGCCCAUUGCGCUGGGUCUCCUAGCACAGAUACAUCUGGAACACACAGCAAUCUUCGGAAAGGCUGAAUAAAGCUAGAGAUGUUCAUUACCAAGGCGCAUCUCAGAAUGGACAGUUUGCUAGCUCAUGCUGGGGAAUUAAGGGAUGUGGCUGAGUGUUGCUUGUAAUCGUCACCAAAAUGAGGGACUUUCUCAGCUCCACCACAGCCAGGCAGUGCGCAGUGCUUCUGGGAAGAGGAAGGCCCUUCUGUGGAGGAGUAACUCAGAGCAGCAAUGGAAAAUCAUUUGCUUGGCUUUGCCAAACUGUGGUCCUUGUGUGUGGAGGUGAUGACACGAGAAGGCUACGUGGAACUGGGAUUCCACCAAGCAGAAAGUUCCCCGAACAUGAAGUAUUUAGUAACCUGUGGUUGAUUAGUGAGACAGUCAACAGAUACCUUGAAAAAUCAUUUUCUGUAGAGAGACAAACACUGCCUGUUUUUGGUCCAAAAAAAUGGAGCAAAUAAAAGUUAUCAUCAGACCAAAUGAGCAUUUGCUUCACAAAACUUUGCAGCAGCAUGUUAGCUAACAAUAGAAGAGGAGAGGUUCUGGGAAAGAGGAAGAGUUACUAAUGGACUUAACCAAGGUGGCUGCAAAUUCUUGUUGAAGCUGUGAAGAAAACUGUUGUUCAGAACCACAGCUGCAUAGCUAUGUAUGUCUGUCCAGGAGAUAUCAAGCUGUACACCCUGCCCCAGCUGCAAAGGAUGGCAAAGGAUGCUAGGUAUGUAAACGCUUCCAGUAAGGGUUGUUGCUUGGCAGAUAUGCUCAGUGGACUACCUCCCAUCAUUAUCAUUAUCCUCCUUGGAUCCCCUGCCUGUCAGUUCACAUGGGCAUUGUCAGCCAUUGCCAGUUCCUUCUCCACCUUCAGCCACUGACUGGAGAUUCAAUUUUCAUCUCUACCUUCCUUUGCUGCUUUUUUCCAGCUGUCCCAGGAAUGAUAAGCACUGCCCUGGAUCCCAGGAGCUUUCACUUUUCAAAACUUCAUACCUGCUGCAUUGAUGCAGCUUGUUUCCCUUUCAGGGUGACAGCUCUGGAGAUUUGUAAUGGGUGAGGAGUUUAUGCUGAGGAGGUGAAAUAGAGGCCACGAGGCUGCAUAAAAAGACAUAACAGGUUACAUACGUUGACAAGAACUCUGCUAGAAUUGUUUCACUGGGGUCUACUAUGGAGGGAGACUUUCUAGGUUAAAGUCUCAAAGAUAGAUAAAUUCUUACUUAUCAUACAAAGCCUUUAUCUGGGCUAUUCCUUGGUCAUUUGCCAUGACAAGACGUGCUCCUCUCUUUUACUAU